This 253-nucleotide ribosomal RNA is filed under the name uncultured bacterium. RNAcentral describes it as "partial 16S ribosomal RNA". It matches the Rfam family "Bacterial small subunit ribosomal RNA", at positions 524 to 776 of the family's 1533-position model. The record is from RNAcentral.
UACGUAGGUGGCAAGCGUUGUCCGGAUUUACUGGGCGUAAAGAGCGCGCAGGCGGUCGUUCAAGUCGCGUGUGAAAGCCCCCGGCUCAACUGGGGAGGGUCACGCGAUACUGAUCGACUGGAAGGCAGGAGAGGGAUGUGGAAUUCCAGGUGUAGCGGUGAAAUGCGUAGAUAUCUGGAGGAACACCGGUGGCGAAGGCGGCAUCCUGGACCGGUAUUGACGCUGAGGCGCGAAAGCUAGGGGAGCAAACGGG